RNAcentral lists this ribosomal RNA (468 nucleotides) under uncultured bacterium. RNAcentral's name for it is "partial 16S ribosomal RNA". It matches the Rfam family "Bacterial small subunit ribosomal RNA", at positions 28 to 507 of the family's 1533-position model. The record is from RNAcentral.
GAUGAACGCUGGCGGCGUGCUUAACACAUGCAAGUCGAACGGAAAGGCCCUGCUCUUGCGCGGUGCUCGAGUGCCGAACGGGUGAGAAACACGCGAGUAUCCUGCCCUUGUCUUUCGGAUAACUUCACGAAACAGGGGCUAAUACCGCAUAGGAUCUCCUGAUGCAUGGUGGGGGAUGGAAAGUUUCGGCGGUUGGGGAUGGACUCGAGGCUUAUCAGCUUGUUGGUGGGGUAGUUGCUUACCAAGGCUUUGACGGGUAGCCGGCCUGAGAGGGUGACCGGCCACAUUGGUACUGGGGUACGGCCCAGACUCCUACGUGAGGCAGAAGUGGGGAAUAUUGCACAAUGGGCGGAAGCCUGAUGCAGCAACGCCGCGUGCGGGAUGACGUCCUUCGGGUUGUAAACCACUGUCGCCGGUAACGAAGCGGUAGUGACGGUAAUUGGUAAAGAAGCACCGGCUAACUACGUG